This 325-nucleotide ribosomal RNA is filed under the name uncultured bacterium. Its description in RNAcentral is "bacterial SSU rRNA". It matches the Rfam family "Bacterial small subunit ribosomal RNA", at positions 477 to 793 of the family's 1533-position model. The record is from RNAcentral.
AGCUGCAGAAGAAGCACCGGCUAACUCCGUGCCAGCAGCCGCGGUAAUACGGAGGGUGCGAGCGUUAAUCGGAAUUACUGGGCGUAAAGCGCAUGCAGGUGGUUUGUUUAAGUACAGAUGUGAAAGACCCGGGGCGUCAACCUCGGAAUAGCAUUUGUAAACUAGGCAGACUAGAGUACUGUAGAGGGGGGUAGGAAUUUCAGGUGUAGCGGUGAAAUGCGUAGAGAUCUGAAGGAAUACCGGUGGCGAAGGCGGCCCCCUCGGACAGAUACUGACACUCAGAUGCGAAAGCGUGGGGAGCAAACAGGAUUAGAUACCCUGGUAG